This 391-nucleotide unclassified non-coding RNA is filed under the name Hevea brasiliensis (rubber tree). Lineage: Eukaryota; Viridiplantae; Streptophyta; Magnoliopsida; Malpighiales; Euphorbiaceae. The record is from RNAcentral.
AUCCUUCUCUAGGGGUCAGCCCUGUGACUGAGAUCAACGUCCCUUCUCCGGUGAAGGCCAUUCUUGGCAUUCUCGUCUGGUGGUGAUUUCUCGCCUCUUAAAUACAACACUUUUCUUUUAUCUUAUCUGAGUCCUUCCCUUCCUCCUAAUAUCCACACUUCUCAUUUAUUUCUCCCCAAAACCUCACCAACCUUAAUACUUGUCAUUUCUUUCCCACCCUCUAUACAAUGACAGAUUUGGAGGUAACUAUAUCCGACCUCAUUAACAAGACCUAUAGUCUUAACUGCAAGGAACCAAUCCUUCAUCUCACUACAACCCCAAAUCAAAAUGAUACUACCCAUAAGACGAUUCUUGCAGGAAAGCUCUUCUCACACAAAAUACUUAAUGCAAA